Molecule: long non-coding RNA, 284 nt
Filed under: Medicago truncatula (barrel medic)
Lineage: Eukaryota; Viridiplantae; Streptophyta; Magnoliopsida; Fabales; Fabaceae
Description: long non-coding RNA (MTRU_LNC008143)
Source: RNAcentral
GAGAGAGAAAAGUUUGUAUUAUUCAUUUUUUUCCUUCAAUUUUCGGGGACUCUCUUUCUCAAUCCUCUAUCUUCUUCUUCAACAGGUCCAUAGGCACCAUAACCACAAAUAAUCUUGGUCUUCAAACAAAUUAACAUGAAUAAAUGUCUAAAAUCAUUGAGAAGCAAAUCAAGUCUUUUCCCCUUGACAAUAUUUUUGGAAGCAGAAUUUAUGAAUCACUCACACCUCCAUUGGUCUUGCUAAUUGGACCCAAAAGCUCCUCUUAUGGUUUUCAAUGAAUUUGA